GUAAUGGAUUCAAAGAUUGUGCAAGU
RNAcentral lists this non-coding RNA (26 nucleotides) under Cricetulus griseus (Chinese hamster). The record is from RNAcentral. Lineage: Eukaryota; Metazoa; Chordata; Mammalia; Rodentia; Cricetidae.